Non-coding RNA from Ciona intestinalis (vase tunicate), 118 nucleotides. The record is from RefSeq and is a predicted model, not a curated record. NCBI's taxonomy places the organism in Eukaryota, Metazoa, Chordata, Ascidiacea, Phlebobranchia, Cionidae.
ACACGAAAAACUAGCUUUUUAUAAAAAAAAUGGGCAGUAGAGGUAUCAGUGAGAAAUAAUGAACAUUCUAAUAUAAAGAAAGCGCUUAUAACAAACUAAUAAGAAAAAAGUGAUGAGU